CGUAGGGGGCAAGCGUUGUCCGGAUUUAUUGGGCGUAAAGCGCGUGUAGGCGGCUUGGCAAGUCCGCUGUGAAAACUCGAGGCUCAACCUCGAGAUGUCGGUGGAAACUGCCUGGCUAGAGUCCGGAAGAGGAGUGUGGAAUUCCUGGUGUAGCGGUGAAAUGCGCGGAUAUCAGGAAGAACACCUAUGGCGAAGGCAGCACUCUGGGACGGUACUGACGCUGAGACGCGAAAGCGUGGGGAGCGAACAGGAUUAGAUACCCUGGUAGUCCACGCCGUAAACGAUGGAUGCUAGGUGUGGGCGGUGUCGACUCCGUCCGUGCCGAAGCUAACGCAUUAAGCAUCCCGCCUGGGGAGUACGGCCGCAAGGCUA
Molecule: ribosomal RNA, 372 nt
Filed under: uncultured organism
Description: bacterial SSU rRNA
Rfam family: Bacterial small subunit ribosomal RNA
Source: RNAcentral